RNAcentral lists this ribosomal RNA (811 nucleotides) under uncultured archaeon. RNAcentral's name for it is "bacterial SSU rRNA". It matches the Rfam family "Archaeal small subunit ribosomal RNA", at positions 61 to 877 of the family's 1478-position model. The record is from RNAcentral.
AAUGUAGCAAUACAUGGCGUACUGCUCAGUAACACGUGGAUAACCUGCCCUUAGGACGGGGAUAAACCCGGGAAACUGGGUAUAAUACCUGAUAGAUCUCGAUUGCUGGAAUGCAUCGAGAUCUAAAGCUCCGGCGCCUAAGGAUGGAUCUGCGGCCUAUCAGGUAGUAGUGGGUGUAGCGUACCUACUAGCCUACGACGGGUACGGGUUGUGAGAGCAAGAGCCCGGAGAUGGAUUCUGAGACACGAAUCCAGGCCCUACGGGGUGCAGCAGGCGCGAAAACUUUACAAUGCUGGCAACAGCGAUAAGGGGACCUCGAGUGCCAGGUUACAAAUCUGGCUGUCGUGAUGCCUAAAAAGCAUUGCAUAGCAAGGGCCGGGCAAGACCGGUGCCAGCCGCCGCGGUAACACCGGCGGCUCGAGUGGUAACCGUUAUUAUUGGGUCUAAAGGGUCUGUAGCCGGCCGGAUAAGUCUCUUGGGAAAUCUGGCAGCUUAACUGUCAGGCUUUCAGGAGAUACUGUCUGGCUCGAGGCCGGGAGAGGUGAGAGGUACUUCAGGGGUAGGGGUGAAAUCUUGUAAUCCUUGAAGGACCACCAGUGGCGAAGGCGCCUCACCAGAACGGACCUGACGGCAAGGGACGAAAGCUAGGGGCACGAACCGGAUUAGAUACCCGGGUAGUCCUAGCCGUAAACGAUACUCGCUAGGUGUCGGCCACGGUGCGACCGUUGUCGGUGCCGUAGGGAAGCCGUGAAGCGAGCCACCUGGGAAGUACGGCCGCAAGGCUGAAACUUAAAGGAAUUGGCGGGGGAGC